RNAcentral lists this ribosomal RNA (747 nucleotides) under uncultured Glomus. Its description in RNAcentral is "LSU rRNA". It matches the Rfam family "Eukaryotic large subunit ribosomal RNA", at positions 38 to 633 of the family's 3401-position model. Lineage: Eukaryota; Fungi; Glomeromycota; Glomeromycetes; Glomerales; Glomeraceae. The record is from RNAcentral.
GCAUAUCAAUAAGCGGAGGAAAAGAAAAUAACAAUGAUUCCCCUAGUAACUGCGAGUGAAGAGGGACAAGCUCAAAUUUUAAAUCUGUUAGGUUCAUACCUGACCGAGUUGUAAUUUGAAGAGGCGAUUUCCGCGUUUUUUGGUCAGUCCAAGUCCUUUGGGAUAAGGCAUCAUGGAGGGUGAGAAUCCCGUUCGGCUGAUCAAGAUUCGUUUACGAUCCGUCCUCAAAGAGUCAAGUUGUUUGGGAUUGCAGCUUAAAAUGGGAGGUAAAUUUCUCCUAAGGCUAAAUAUUGGCGAGAGACCGAUAGCGAACAAGUACCGUGAGGGAAAGAUGAAAAGAAUUUUGAAAAGAAAGUUAAAUAGUACGUGAAAUUGUUGAAAGGGAAACGAUUGAAGCCAGUCGUACCUACGGGUAAUCAACCUUUCGAGUGUGAUUAUGUGGAGUGUGAGGAGUUUAACCCCUCAUGCCUGCACAUUCGUGCUCUUUGGGUGUACUUUCUCGUGCGGUAGGUUAACAUCAAUUUCGGUGGUCAUAAAAUGACGGGAGGAAUGUAGCUUUGGUCUCGUGCCGAAGUGUUAUAGACUCUGGUAGAUGUGACGAUCGGGAUUGAGGAUUGCAACGGAUACCCCUCGGGGCUACCCGUCUGAUCUCUGAAGGUUACUCUGGUGCUGAAAGCUUGCUUAUGGUAUCAAAGUUAUCCGUCAACAGGUUAGAACGUGGUUAAAUUCGUUAAGGAUGUUGACGUA